AGCAGCCGCGGUAAUUCCAGCUCCAAUAGCGUAUAUUAAAGUUGUUGCAGUUAAAAAGCUCGUAGUUGAAUUUCGGGGUUAGUAGAUCGGUCGUGCCACUGGUAUGUACUGGUCUCACUGACUCCUCCUUCCUGAUGAACCGUAAUGCCAUUAAUUUGGUGUUGCGGGGAGACUGGACUGUUACUUUGAAAAAUUAGAGUGUUUAAAGCAGGCUAACGCUUGAAUACAUUAGCAUGGAAUAACGGAAUAGGACGUUCGAUCUUAUUUUGUUGGUUUCUAAGAUUGACGUAAUGAUUAAUAGGGAUAGUUGGGGGCAUUAGUAUUCAAUUGUCAGAGGUGAAAUUCUUGGAUUUAUUGAAGACUAACUACUGCGAAAGCAUUUGCCAAGGAUGUUUUCAUUAAUCAAGAACGAAAGUUAGGGGAUCGAAGACGAUCAGAUAC
RNAcentral lists this small RNA (441 nucleotides) under uncultured Glomus. RNAcentral's name for it is "SSU rRNA". It matches the Rfam family "Eukaryotic small subunit ribosomal RNA", at positions 569 to 1015 of the family's 1831-position model. Lineage: Eukaryota; Fungi; Glomeromycota; Glomeromycetes; Glomerales; Glomeraceae. The record is from RNAcentral.